Molecule: ribosomal RNA, 373 nt
Filed under: uncultured organism
Description: partial 16S ribosomal RNA
Rfam family: Bacterial small subunit ribosomal RNA
Source: RNAcentral
GUAGGUGGCAAGCGUUGUCCGGAAUUAUUGGGCGUAAAGCGCGCGCAGGCGGUUCUUUAAGUCUGAUGUGAAAGCCCACGGCUCAACCGUGGAGGGUCAUUGGAAACUGGAGAACUUGAGUACAGAAGAGGAAAGCGGAAUUCCACGUGUAGCGGUGAAAUGCGUAGAGAUGUGGAGGAACACCAGUGGCGAAGGCGGCUUUCUGGUCUGUAACUGACGCUGAGGCGCGAAAGCGUGGGGAGCAAACAGGGAUUAGAUACCCUGGUAGUCCACGCCGUAAACGAUGAGUGCUAAGUGUUAGGGGGCUUCCGCCCCCCUUAGUGCUGCAGCUAACGCAUUAAGCACUCCGCCUGGGAGUACGACCGCAAGGUUG